UCAUACAAGUCGUUUCUAUGAAUGGUCCCAAAAAAGCUGGGGAAGCAUUCUUCAUAUGAAGCCGCGGUAGCUGAUUGAUACCAG
RNAcentral lists this transfer RNA (84 nucleotides) under Candidozyma auris. RNAcentral describes it as "[Candida] auris tRNA-Tyr". Lineage: Eukaryota; Fungi; Ascomycota; Pichiomycetes; Serinales; Metschnikowiaceae. The record is from RNAcentral.